RNAcentral lists this unclassified non-coding RNA (162 nucleotides) under soil metagenome. RNAcentral describes it as "partial internal transcribed spacer 1". The record is from RNAcentral.
AAGAGACGUUGCCCUUCGGGGUAUACCUCCCACCCUUUGUUUAUUAUACCUUUGUUGCUUUGGCGGGCCCGUCCUCGGACCACCGGCUUCUGCCUGGUCAGUGCCCGCCAGAGGACCUAAAACUCUGUUUGUUAAUAUUGUCUGAGUACUAUAUAAUAGUUA